CAUGAUGCCUAGUACCACACAGGUUGUUCAAACCACACAGGUUUCUGGGGAGAAACUCAGAAAGCCCAGCCUCGCCCCACCCAUCAGCAGAAGCAGACAUGCGCUUAGAUUUCUAGUGGGGGGUGAUAAGCCGCCUUACAGCAUUCUCACAAGAAGAACACUGCCUGGGAUUUGGGUCUGUGUCCAUGAACAGAAGGGUCAAACCCAGAAUCACUGCAUGUGAGAGUGGGAAGAAACUUCAGCCAUCACCCAACCCAGGGGUUUUCAGACCAGUUCUACAAAGGUCGAGGGCUGUGUGUGGCUGUCAGGAGGCAGGAGCCCCAAAAUCUGCUAAGAAAAGCAAGUGGCUAUGCUGAGUGAGCUAACUCCAAACUCCUGUUUCUACCAGAACAGCCCUCAUUGAAUCCAUUUAAAUAUCGAGGAUGCAAAAACAGCCUAGUUUUUUUAAAAAAAAUUAGAUCACAGAUCCAACCAAUGCUCUUACUCUAUACUUCUAUGAGGAGAAGGGCUUUCCCAGGAUCCCCAAGGGUGACUGAGAGAGCUAGGUUAGAACUCGGUCCCCUCAUCUCAAGGUCAAGAUAUGCUCCACACUCCCACCCGCUUUUCCAGAUGCCUUUGAAUCUCCCACUUCCCAAAGUUUUUAAGGGCCCAUUAUAGUGACUCUCCAAGGUCCAUGAGCCUCCUACCCCAAAUCAUCAUCAAGUGGGAGUAUACUAAAAAUGUUGGAGUUCCUGUCGUGGCUCAUGCUUAGUAGAUGUAAAGUUUAACCCUUACAACAACCCUCUGAGGUGAGUACAAUGACCCUCUUCCUCCAGCAGUAAACUUGUAUCAGGUCAUAAGCUCAGAAGCCACAGGGACAGCAUUCAAACCCAGGCAAGUCUGCCUCAGCCAGAGCUUUCAUCCCUAACCAUCCUACCACACUGCCUCAUGUUUUCAUGCUGGUUUACAUCUCAUGUUCAGGCUCAUAACAGCGCCCAAGUAUAAAAAGGGAGGAAGCUUAAAAGAGGACAACAAACCUGCUCCGUUAGGAAACUUGCUGAAGGAACAUACUCAGCGAGUGAUCCUUCUGAGAACCCAGGUCUCCUGGACCAACCCUCCUCACCCCCACCCCCACCCCUGCCAUGCUUGUAAUUAAGUCUUACAGCCAAUAACAGAAUGUCUCCCAGAGGUGGCAUGGCUGGUACCAAAGAUCCAUAGUUAUGGGCCAUCAGCAGGGACCAGCAAACAUAUUGGACAUGAAAUCAAAGCCAAUAAGCAGGAUCCAGGGAAGAGGAGGUGACAGGUCCCAGGGAGCAAAUGCUGAUGAAUCCAUUCCCUCUGGUGGAAGGCGUGAGGCUGCAGUGCUUAGCCCAGGGCUGUGCUCUCUAAGUACCCAAUGCAGGAUGGGGUUUCAGUGUGUGUGUGGGGGGGGGGGGGGUUUCAGUGUGUGUGUGUGUGUGUGUGUGUGUGUGUGUGUGUCUUUCUCCUUUUCAAGGACUGAGGACAACAGAGUAAAUUAGCACAAAGAACCAAACCCAGGGCUUCUUGCUCCUUUAUUCUCUCUUUACUAGACACGUCCCCUGCAGCACCCAGCAGGCCCCAGCAGGGGAUCAUCACUCCCUGGCCUGGGAAAUCCCAGCCAUCUGGCUUCUGCCCCAGCACGUCCCCAGCCUCUGCAGACAAACAGCCGCAUGCAAGGAGGUUGGGUGCCACCAUCUGCACAGAGCCUUAAUGAGAGGCCUGUGGUUUCUUGGUGUCUUGGUCAAGCUGUUUGCCAGUCCUAGCAAGUGAGAACUUUUGGCCUAACCUAACAUAGGCCUUCGGCCCCUGCACAGUCUAAAUAAAUCACCUUGGACUCCUCUCAUCUGCUCUCUAAUGAAUGGCUUCCUUGGUCAGGGAAACACUUUUUAAAAAUACUGGCAGCAGAAAAAGAAUGGAAUAAAUCCUGUAGGGUUUAUGGGUUUGAAAGGAAAACAGUCCUAUCUUGGUCUGCCCCUAUAUAAAACAAGACUUUUUUUUUUCCUUUUUAUGGCCACACCUAUGGUAUAUGGAAAUUCCCAGGCUAGGGACUGAAUCAGAGAUGCAUCUGCCAACCUAUGCCAUGGCCACAGUAUCACCAGAUCCAAUUGCAUCUGCAAUCUAUGCCACAUCUCACGGCAACGCCAGAUCCUUAACCCACUGAGUGAGGCCAGGGAUCGAAUCACCGAACCCGAAACCUCAUGGAUACUAGUAGGGUUCUUAACCUGCUGAGCCAAAACAGAAACUCCUAAAACAAGAUUUUUAGACGCCCAGUCUCCUGGGGUCCCUUUGCUGAGAAAGCUAGGGAUGGAAACUCCACUCCAAGGGUCUUUGUUGAGAAGUCUGUGGGGAAUAAGGAAGGCAUUGGGAAAAGCAGAGAGGGAAGGUGAUUCUUACAUCAGUGAAAGCCCACUAACAAUUAAUGUCCUUUGUCAAUGGAAUGGGUGGGAUCCACAGGACAAGUCAAGCAGAGGCUGAAUCCGUUGGGGACUCUGUAGCAAAUCUUUUGUGGGUAGAAUUAAGUAGAGGCUUUGAAGGCCCUCCCAAAUCUUAGGUUCUAGUCCCAUGAUUCUUGGAGGGCAGCAAUUCAAACAGGAUAGAUUUUAGAAUCAGAACAAUGCAGUUCAGUCCUGGCUCUGCUCUUUAUAGGCUGGAUGACCUUGGGGGAAGUGUUCCUCAUCUGCAAAUUGUGGUUGACCCCUCCUCUACCUCUUUGGGUUAUCCCUGCGGUUGACAACAGAGGGGUGGGGGCAGGUGCACCCUUCACCCUGUGGACCUAUAGGUGCUCAGCAAAUGUUAGGUCCCUCCCUCUAAGGGAACACACAAAAUUCCAAGAUUUCCUAAUCCUAAGAUGGCUAACACUUUUAAAAGUCUGAUUCCAAAAGAAACAGGACAAACAAAACAUUGAUGUGGAAACCUCCUUUCCCGUCUCUCAAGAGCACUAAGGAAUCUUCUCCCCAAACUUUGAGAUAAUGCCCAUGUGUUGAUUUUUAUUCCAAACUUGCAAUUUGGCAACCUUCUCUAAGUCUUUUUUUUUUCCCCUCUUUUUCUUCAAGUCACUUAGGCUGAGCUGUUACUUGAG
This 3079-nucleotide long non-coding RNA is filed under the name Sus scrofa (pig). RNAcentral's name for it is "lncRNA (ENSSSCG00000045664.2)". The record is from RNAcentral. Lineage: Eukaryota; Metazoa; Chordata; Mammalia; Artiodactyla; Suidae.